CUGAAGUUGGCUGGAAGGGACAGCUCCCCUCACUGGCACUGGUUCUCAAGCCUGCCGGGCUCAGCAGGAGGCAUGCCAGCUUUGAUCUCACCUCCUUUGUGAGGAGGGUGGCUACCAGGAAACUGCCUUGCAAUUAUCUUGUUUAAGAUGAGCAGAGGAGAUAUUCACUCCCUGCAGGAAUAACCUGAGUUUCCAGGGAGGUCUCUUUUUACUGGGAAAUAAUGAACAUUAUUCUAGUUCAGGGUUGGGCUAGUGUGCUGGCACAGAUUUCUGGCUUCUCACCUUCCUGACCCUGUUCGAAAUCCCCUAUUCUCAGCUGCUUUCUGGGGCAGAGAGAGGAGUAAGUUGCAAUGACUCUCCCAAGACGUGCUGAUGGCUGAUAUGGAUGGAGUUUCUCUUCUUCCUCAGGUCACCUUGGCGAAAGCAAGCUCUUCCCCACUCGAACCCCAAGAAAGGUGGACUAGGGGAUAUCUUUGCCCAUAUAGUGGAGUUUUUAGGCAAGGACCAUUUCUCAAGGUGUGCUCCAAGACUGCCCGGAUCUGAAACUCCUUACCGAAGUGUUUAUUCCAGUUUGGCAGCAGCUGUGGCAAUGAAGCCUCAACUACCCUGCACCCAUCAGUCUCACUCCUAAGUCUAUACGGGAGCAUGGAGUGUUUGUGUGCAUCCAAAGAAACAGAUAAGGUUAUUGGGGUAGUGCUGUUCAAAAGAUUCCAAGGCUGGAAUCAACCCAGCUGUCCAUCAACAGGAGAACCGGGGAACAAAUGUGGUCCAUCCAUAUUCAGCAAUAAAAGUAAAUAACUUUGGAUGAAGAGAAUGCAUUCAGCUUGCUGAGCAGAAAAUCCAGGCAGAGAGUGAGUCCACUCAUAGGAAGCUCAAGUGCAGGAGAAACCAUGAUGGCAGAGUUAGACCACUGGUGCCUGGAGGAUGGUGGAGUUCCUGCUCAGGAAAGGCACGCGGGAGACAGCUGGGGCAUGGGACACGCUCAGCACCUCCUUCUGAAUGGUGGUUUUUUUAGAUUUGUGCCUACAUGUGCAAACUUGCCUGAGCCAUGUCCUUAAGAUCCAUACCUUUACUAGACACACAUGCCCCUCUCGACUUCAUCCAAGACCCACCAUGGUGGAAUCUCAGCCCGGGGCCUGGGGGGGCAGUCCUUUGCACCCCUGAUGGGUGCCCACUAACCAUGUUGGAGCUGAGCAAUUUUGAGUGAGGUGUUUUGGUCAUUUCCUAAAAUCACAGUAGGCCUCUCUGGCUUUUCCUUAGUUAGUCACUAGCAAAUAAGACCAGUGAGAUACUUCUCAUCUGUUACAAUUGGGGCAGUAGGACCGUUUGACCAAACUUGUUACCAUUUUUACCCAAGAUAGAAGCCACACGGUCAUGGAAAUAGAGGCAGGGGGAUCUUUCCCAUUUUUUAAAAAAUUGAAAACCGAAACCAAUUAUUUCCAUUGUUAAUAGACAAAUAAGUAUUUUAGAUUUAUAAUCAGUCUACAUGUAAUUUUUGAAUCUGUCCCCUUCUCUCCGAGUGUCCUACAGUGCAGUCAACAAGAGGAGGAGCAGCUGACUAUUGCCAAGACUGGCACCUGGGCAAGGCCCACUUCAGAGCCCAGGCCAUGGUCGGCAGCCUGCCAUUCCUUCCUGGUGGGUAAGAGGCUGCUCCUCGGGUCCCUGCGUGUGGCUGCUGGGAGCAUGGCAGCUUACCUCUUCACAGCCAGCGAGGCAGUCCCCUGCAAGACGGAAGUCACAACUUAUGCCACGUCGUCAGCCAUGUGACCAGGCGUACCCCUCACCUGUGCCAUCUGCAGAAGCAGGUGGUAGGUCUGUCUGCCCCCAGGGAAGGAGACCCACAACCCACACACAGUUCCAGAUCACUUGCAGUUGUACGUAUGUGUCCAUUCGAUUAUGUGUUAAACUGGUUCUAUGUGCAUUUUGCGAUUACCUCU
RNAcentral lists this long non-coding RNA (1937 nucleotides) under Marmota monax (woodchuck). Lineage: Eukaryota; Metazoa; Chordata; Mammalia; Rodentia; Sciuridae. The record is from RNAcentral.